GACGAACGCUGGCGGCGUGCUUAACACAUGCAAGUCGAACGGAAAGGCCCUGCUUGCAGGGUACUCGAGUGGCGAACGGGUGAGUAACACGUGGGUGAUCUGCCCUGCACUUCGGGAUAAGCCUGGGAAACUGGGUCUAAUACCGGAUAGGAGCCAUUUUUAGUGUGAUGGUUGGAAAGUUUUUUCGGUGUAGGAUGAGCUCGCGGCCUAUCAGCUUGUUGGUGGGGUAAUGGCCUACCAAGGCGGCGACGGGUAGCCGGCCUGAGAGGGUGGACGGCCACAUUGGGACUGAGAUACGGCCCAGGCUCCUACGAGAAGCAGCAGUGGAGAAUAUUGCACAAUGGGCGCAAGCCUGAUGCAGCGACGCCGCGUGGGGGAUGACGGCCUUCGGGUUGUAACCUCCUUUCGCUAGGGACGAAGCUUUUUGUGACGGUACCUAGAUAAGAAGCACCGGCUAACUACGUG
RNAcentral lists this ribosomal RNA (465 nucleotides) under uncultured bacterium. RNAcentral's name for it is "partial 16S ribosomal RNA". It matches the Rfam family "Bacterial small subunit ribosomal RNA", at positions 28 to 507 of the family's 1533-position model. The record is from RNAcentral.